GAUGAACGCUGGCGGCGUGCCUAAUACAUGCAAGUCGAGCGAACGGACGAGAAGCUUGCUUCUCUGAUGUUAGCGGCGGACGGGUGAGUAACACGUGGAUAACCUACCUAUAAGACUGGGAUAACUUCGGGAAACCGGAGCUAAUACCGGAUGAUAUUUUGAACCGCAUGGUUCAAAAGUGAAAGACGGUCUUGCUGUCACUUAUAGAUGGAUCCGCGCUGCAUUAGCUAGUUGGUAAGGUAACGGCUUACCAAGGCAACGAUGCAUAGCCGACCUGAGAGGGUGAUCGGCCACUCUGGAACUGAGACACGGUCCAGAUUCCUACGGGAGGCAGCAGUAGGGAAUCUUCCGCAAUGGGCGAAAGCCUGACGGAGCAACGCCGCGUGAGUGAUGAAGGUCUUCGGAUCGUAAAACUCUGUUAUUAGGGAAGAACAUAUGUGUAAGUAACUGUGCACAUCUUGACGGUACCUAAUCAGAAAGCCACGGCUAACUACG
Molecule: ribosomal RNA, 495 nt
Filed under: uncultured bacterium
Lineage: Bacteria
Description: partial 16S ribosomal RNA
Rfam family: Bacterial small subunit ribosomal RNA
Source: RNAcentral